Small nuclear RNA from Otolemur garnettii (small-eared galago), 140 nucleotides. Its record names the gene U4. It matches the Rfam family "U4 spliceosomal RNA". From Rfam's summary of the family: U4 small nuclear RNA (U4 snRNA) is a component of the major U2-dependent spliceosome. The structure of U4 snRNA from yeast and human has been reported. U4 snRNA presents a k-turn RNA motif in the 5p-SL related to recognition of Snu13 protein. Lineage: Eukaryota; Metazoa; Chordata; Mammalia; Primates; Galagidae. The record is from Ensembl.
AGCUACACAGUGGCAGUAUUAUAGCCAAUGAGAUUUUAUCCUAGACAAAAUUAUUACUAAUUGAAAACUUUUCCUAAGGCCCCACUGUGACAACUUGCAAUAUAGAUGGCAUUGGAAAUUUUUGACAAUCUCUAAAGAGA